This 460-nucleotide ribosomal RNA is filed under the name uncultured Sphingobacteriales bacterium. RNAcentral describes it as "bacterial SSU rRNA". It matches the Rfam family "Bacterial small subunit ribosomal RNA", at positions 920 to 1382 of the family's 1533-position model. Lineage: Bacteria; Pseudomonadati; Bacteroidota; Sphingobacteriia; Sphingobacteriales. The record is from RNAcentral.
CCCGCACAAGCGGUGGAGCAUGUUGGUUUAAUUCGAUGAUACGCGAGGAACCUUACCUGGCUCAAAUGUAUGUUGACGUAUUCUGAAAGGGAUACUUCUUCGGACAAUAUACAAGGUGCUGCAUGGUUGUCGUCAGCUCGUGCCGUGAGGUGUCGGGUUAAGUCCCAUAACGAGCGCAACCCCUAUCAUUAGUUGCCAUCAGGUCAAGCUGGGGACUCUAAUGAAACUGCCUACGCAAGUAGUGAGGAAGGUGGGGAUGACGUCAAAUCAGCACGGCCCUUACGUCCAGGGCUACACACGUGCUACAAUGGCCGGUACAAAGGGCAGCUACCUGGUGACAGGAUGCUAAUCUCAAAAGCCGGUCUCAGUUCGGAUCGGAGUCUGCAACCCGACUCCGUGAAGUUGGAUUCGCUAGUAAUCGCGCAUCAGCCAUGGCGCGGUGAAUACGUUCCCGGGCCUU